UAGCUCAGUUGGUAGAGCAUGGUGUUUACAACACCAGGAUAGCGGGAUCGAUUCCCAC
This 58-nucleotide transfer RNA is filed under the name Salmo salar (Atlantic salmon). It matches the Rfam family "tRNA", at positions 8 to 63 of the family's 71-position model. From Rfam's summary of the family: Transfer RNA (tRNA) molecules are approximately 80 nucleotides in length. Their secondary structure includes four short double-helical elements and three loops (D, anti-codon, and T loops). The record is from Rfam by way of RNAcentral. Lineage: Eukaryota; Metazoa; Chordata; Actinopteri; Salmoniformes; Salmonidae.